CAAGACGAGGAUAACAGUUGGAAACGACUGAUAAUACUGGAUAGUAAACGAAACCGCAUGAUUUUGUUUUUAAAGUUCCCCCAAAGGAACACUUGAGGAGAGGCCUAUAUCGCAGUUAGCGUAGUUGGGUGAGGUAACGGCCCACCAAGGCGACGAUGCGUAACUGUGCUGAGAGGCAAAACAGUCACAUUGGAACUUAGGACCACGGUCCAAACUCCUACGGGAGGCAGCAGUAGGGAAUUUUCGGCAAUGGGGGAAACCCUGACCGAGCAAUGCCGCGUGAAUGAUGAAGAUCCUUCGGAUUGUAAAAUUCUGUUGUUAGGAAUGAAUUACAUUACUAGGAAAUGAGUAGUGCUUGACAGUACCUGACUAGAAAGCCCCGGCUAACUAUGUGCCAGCCGCAGC
Molecule: ribosomal RNA, 405 nt
Filed under: uncultured bacterium
Lineage: Bacteria
Description: bacterial SSU rRNA
Rfam family: Bacterial small subunit ribosomal RNA
Source: RNAcentral